This 253-nucleotide ribosomal RNA is filed under the name uncultured bacterium. RNAcentral's name for it is "partial 16S ribosomal RNA". It matches the Rfam family "Archaeal small subunit ribosomal RNA", at positions 474 to 727 of the family's 1478-position model. The record is from RNAcentral.
UACCAGCACCCCGAGUGGUCGGGACGAUUAUUGGGCCUAAAGCGUCCGUAGCCGGUUUUACAAGUCCUCCGUUAAAUCCAGCUGCUUAACAGAUGGGCUGCGGAGGAUACUAUAAGACUAGGAGGCAGGAGAGGCAAGCGGUACUCAGUGGGUAGGGGUAAAAUCCGUUGAUCCAAUGAAGACCACCAGUGGCGAAGGCGGCUUGCCAGAAUGCGCUCGACGGUGAGGGAUGAAAGCUGGGGGAGCAAACCGG